ACGAACGCUGGCGGCAGGCCUAACACAUGCAAGUCGAGCGCCGUAGCAAUACGGAGCGGCAGACGGGUGAGUAACGCGUGGGAACCUUCCCAGUGGUACGGAAUAGCUCAGGGAAACUUGAGGUAAUACCGCAUACGCCCUUCGGGGGAAAGAUUUAUCGCCAUUGGAUGGGCCCGCGUCGGAUUAGCUAGUUGGUGAGGUAACGGCCCACCAAGGCGACGAUCUGUAGCUGGUCUGAGAGGAUGAUCAGCCACACUGGGACUGAGACACGGCCCAGACUCCUACGGGAGGCAGCAGUGGGGAAUAUUGGACAAUGGGCGCAAGCCUGAUCCAGCCAUGCCGCGUGAGUGACGAAGGUCUUCGGAUUGUAAAGCUCUUUUGGCGGGGACGAUAAUGACGGUACCCGCAGAAUAAGCCCCGGCUAACUUCGU
This 431-nucleotide ribosomal RNA is filed under the name uncultured bacterium. Its description in RNAcentral is "bacterial SSU rRNA". It matches the Rfam family "Bacterial small subunit ribosomal RNA", at positions 29 to 506 of the family's 1533-position model. The record is from RNAcentral.